Molecule: long non-coding RNA, 1331 nt
Organism: Mesocricetus auratus (golden hamster)
Lineage: Eukaryota; Metazoa; Chordata; Mammalia; Rodentia; Cricetidae
Exons: 4
Source: RefSeq, a predicted model, not a curated record
CGACCGGGACGCGGGGCUCGGUGGGCCGGGCGGGCCGCGGCGCGCUCACCUGCCGUGGAACCAGUCCUUGCAGGCGUCGCACUCGAUCAUGAAGCGGAUGUUUAUUGAGCACCUACUGUACGCUGACAGCCACACACCAGAGCGCAGAAGGGUCUCAGCUCUCCUGUUCACCCUGGAGUAGAGACAGCCAGGGGUGGACUUGAAUGUGAGUAGUGUGGAGGAGAGCAAGGAAAAACAGGCUGACCACUGGUACCUGCCUUGCCAGAACUCUCCUCUCAUAGACAACGUGCAGGCCCGCCUGCGAGCUGUAGAAAGGAAGGAGAAUCCUCACCACGGAAAGUGAGCUGGCCUGCUGGAGAGCAGCCAAGCAAGAGUGGGCUGUAAACAAGCAGAGCCACCCCCGGCACACAGACCCUAUGCCCCCACAUAGGGAUAGUGGCUAUGAAUCCCUCAUGUGGACCACUGCUUCCAGCCCAUGUCCUGUGCCCUACACGAGAGAAUGGAAAAAUCAGGAUCAAGCUCAGGGAGAGAUAUGGUGGUACUCUAAAAGAUCUAUUGCUAUGAAAAUGUCCUCAUGACUGCGGCAACCUGCAGGCAACUCUUGAGAUUAUGGGUUACUACUGGUCAUGCCCAGAUACAAAGUCCCACUGCUUAAAAUCAUGGCCAUAUCACAGUAAGUGGAGUUUAACAGAACAUAGCAGAGGUAUACAACAUAGAAUCACCCUUGUUUGAAUUAUUUAUUUCUGAAUUUAUUGAGAAGAAUGGAGCAAGACCUUGAGUGCGUUCAUUCAUGUAUGAGUUACACAGCCACUGAGGGACUGCAACUGUGGAUUUAAAAAACGAUGUUAGGUUUGAGGACAUAGCUCAAUAGCAAAGAACUUGCUUAGCAUGCAUGUAGCCCUGAGUGCAAUCCUCAGCAAUGAAGAUAAAAAGUAUAAUUUCAAGAUAAUUAUCAGUUUUAGUAAUGACAACUACUGUUAAUUUAACAGGCAAAAGUUACUAAAAUAAAAGCUAAAUAAUGUGUGAAUAAGAUUUCCAUUACUGUGUAUACUUGACUUCUAUCAAAAAAAGUUUAAUGUUUUAGAGAUACCAGCUUAACAAAUAUCCCAGAUGGCCUCAAACUCUUGCUCUCCUGUCUCUGGUUCCUAAGCAUGUACCACAAUGCCUGCCCAAAAGCUUCCUAAAAUUGACACUGCAGUGUUUUUUUUCCCCUUAAAUUGUAAAAAGUUAUUUAAGUGUAUGUAUACUACAUGAGUGUCCAGUGUCCAUCCAGAAGCUAGAAGAGGGCAUUAGGUCCCUAGGAACUGGAGUUACAGACAAGUAUAAAUUGC